GGCGGGACACGUGGUAUCCUGUCUGAAUAUGGGGGGACCAUCCUCCAAGGCUAAAUACUCCUGACUGACCGAUAGUGAACCAGUACCGUGAGGGAAAGGCGAAAAGAACCCCGGCGAGGGGAGUGAAAAAGAACCUGAAACCGUGUACGUACAAGCAGUGGGAGCACGCUUAGGCGUGUGACUGCGUACCUUUUGUAUAAUGGGUCAGCGACUUAUAUUCUGUAGCAAGGUUAACCGAAUAGGGGAGCCGAAGGGAAACCGAGUCUUAACUGGGCGUUAAGUUGCAGGGUAUAGACCCGAAACCCGGUGAUCUAGCCAUGGGCAGGUUGAAGGUUGGGUAACACUAACUGGAGGACCGAACCGACUAAUGUUGAAAAAUUAGCGGAUGACUUGUGGCUGGGGGUGAAAGGCCAAUCAAACCGGGAGAUAGCUGGUUCUCCCCGAAAGCUAUUUAGGUAGCGCCUCGUGAAUUCAUCUCCGGGGGUAGAGCACUGUUUCGGCAAGGGGGUCAUCCCGACUUACCAACCCGAUGCAAACUGCGAAUACCGGAGAAUGUUAUCACGGGAGACACACGGCGGGUGCUAACGUCCGUCGUGAAGAGGGAAACAACCCAGACCGCCAGCUAAGGUCCCAAAGUCAUGGUUAAGUGGGAAACGAUGUGGGAAGGCCCAGACAGCCAGGAUGUUGGCUUAGAAGCAGCCAUCAUUUAAAGAAAGCGUAAUAGCUCACUGGUCGAGUCGGCCUGCGCGGAAGAUGUAACGGGGCUAAACCAUGCACCGA
This 780-nucleotide ribosomal RNA is filed under the name Escherichia coli. Its description in RNAcentral is "partial 23S ribosomal RNA". It matches the Rfam family "Bacterial large subunit ribosomal RNA", at positions 416 to 1197 of the family's 2925-position model. Lineage: Bacteria; Pseudomonadati; Pseudomonadota; Gammaproteobacteria; Enterobacterales; Enterobacteriaceae. The record is from RNAcentral.